UGACUCCAUAGGAUGUAGUUGGAAAGAAAGAUAAGUCUUAAUCGUGUUAAGAUUUGAGGUUGUGUGCUAAUAAGCAAUAUUUGUUUGAGAAUUAUCUUGUGGAUAUCCUUAAAUUAACCUUUGGAUAUCACUUCUAUAAACCAAGUAACAAUUGUUGUUUUGUUGGGUAGUUCAUUGUAAUCCUACAAUAUGAUUUGCCUAAGCGCAAAUGAACGAGAGAUAGAACUCAAAGAAUGGGUUCUUUGAGAGACAAGAUGAUAAUCAACAAAUAUAACAACGUAGUUCCUACACCACAGGCUUCAAGGUAGUCGAGAAGGAUUUAUAAACCGUCUCAGUUGAAUGGUUUGAACUUUAUGACUAUGUCAUAGAGUUACACCUCUUAAUUCGAAAGAAAUAAGAAUGAAAAUCCUUAUGACUACAUUGAGUGUACAUACGACAUAUACUCAAGGAAAUGGUAAAGUACCAUUUGACCCGAAAUAUUGAAACCUUUAAUAGCUAAUUGGUAGCUUAAGGUGACUACAAUCAAAGAGAUUGGUUGACUUGGAAGAAACCAUAUUUGAUGUAGUCUUGGUUUCAAUAAUUCAAAGAUUGUUGGCUACAACUAAAUGGUGAUUCAAUGUUUGGACAUAAUAUGGGUUUCCAAAACCAUUAUUAAGAUAGUCUUGAUAAUAUAUGUCUAAAACUAUGAAUCACAAGACAUGUAAGUUGUAGAGAUCCAUCCAUCGUGAAUCUUAGCAAGCUAGCGGGAGCUAUAAGCGUCUUAUGAGAGAAAGAUCAAAUCGUUUGAUUUCUCAUAAAGAUGUAAAUGAAUCUUUUGUUUAAUAGGUUUACAAAAGAUUAGUGGGAGUUAAUCAUGUUCCUAAAUUUGAAUAUAUAUACACAUAUAUGAUAUAUUAAUUCUGGAAAUGAAAAGAAUACUUCUUCGUUAAAGUUAUGACUUUAAACAUUCUAUAACGAUAGAAUAUAUAUGGGAGACAUAGUCUAUAAACAUGGGAUGGAAAUCUAUAAUGAUAGAUUUCAAGAUAUAAUUGGAUUAUAUCAAGCCCUAAUGAUAGACAAAAGAUGCUAGGAAGUUUCUCAUAUGAUGAUAAACUUCAAUCAAAAGAACAACUCUAGUGAGACUAGGAGGUGACUCUUCUCAAAGGGAACGUACCCUUUUGACUUCUAAAGAAACAUAAUGCGUAAAUAUAAUCCUUUAUGUAUACGCAGAAAGGUGAUUUAUGUAUUUCAUAUUGUAUGAAAAACGUUGAUAUGAGUUGUACCAAGAUCAGUACAAAACGAUAUCAAUGCAAGCCCAGGAUCAGAACCAUGGCAACUGUCAAGUGAAUCCUUAAGUAUUUGAGAAAUAAUAAAGGAUGGAUUCCUCAAGAAUGAGGAAGAAUUAGAGUAACGUAAUGGAAGUGUAAAUGUAUUAGAUUAUGAAUCUAAUCCAUCAUUGGAUGUUUCUUCAUUAUGAAUGAAGAGAUAAUCAGAUAUCUCUUUAUUAUGACUAAAGAGAUAUUUGGAUAGAAACAUUAAAAGUAAUGACUUUAGUGUGUUCCAUUGUGAAUGCAAAAUAUAUUGCCAUAUAGAAGCUUACAACAAUGUUGUUUGGAUGAGAAAGUUCAUUCAUGAACUCUCUAUUCGGUUCCAACCAGAAAGCGUCUCUAGUGUACCGACACUACGACACUAAUGGGGUGAUAGCUCAAGCCAAGGAAUCAAGGUCUCAUCAUGAUCCAAACUUAAAUGAGAGACUAAAUCACAUGAUUAAGAAUCAUGUAUAAUGGUGACGUUGUUAUUCUCAAGGUUGCUUCUAUGGAUAACAGAUAGAUAUCCAUUGUCUAGGCCUACUACUCAGCCAUUUUUGAAAUGACUACAUAAAAGGUAUCAUCAUUGAUGACCAAGCUGAUUGGCUCUAGUGCAAAUGGGAGAUUGUUGGAAAUGUGCCCUAAAACCAAUCAUAUGAUGAUACUUUACGGACAUUUCACAUGUUAAACUAAUAUAGUUUAAUUUAAAAGGCAAAAUUAUUGUUUGAAGCCGUCUCAUAUAAAUGUUAUACGCUUAAACGAUAAGUCCAAGGAAUAUGUAAUUGGGAGAAUGCGAUCUAAAGAAGUUAGAUUCAUGAGACCAUUCUCUUUCAUAUACAUAUCCUAAAUGUUCCUGAUCAUAGGAUUGCCAAUUGGGCAUUGACAGUCCGCUAAGAUCAGUACAUGCUAUGUCUUCUCUUAGGGAGAGUGACUAGUCUCGAGUCAUUGGUGUGACUGACACCAAGAUAAGUACGUAGGUGCUCAAUAGAGAAUGAGUUCACUGAACGCGAUCAACAAGGAGUUCUAAUACUCAUGUCACAUGAGAACUCAUGGUUGGGAUAAUGCAAAGUAGUCGACCUGAGGCAUCAUAGUUGUCUUGUGGUUAGGUCCUUGAUCUUUGACUAUGUCAAAGUCACUCCAUCCAAGGGUGUCCACGACAUAAUUAGGGUUAAGCCACUUAGCCAUGGAGGCAAGUGAAUGCGCAACAAGGGAUCUCUAACCUUCAAACUGUUUGAAGGAGAAACUCUAUGAUAUGAUUAAGAAUCUCUGGCCAGAGUAUGAAUGAGAUUUCAGAAGUCGUUCCAAAUCACAUUCAAGUUAAUCAUAUAAGUAAAUGAAUCACAUUAGAUGGUAGACAUGAAUAAACUAUCAAACCAAACAAUGUGGUCAAGAGUAUUGUGUUAGAGAAAGACGGUAUUGCAUUGUAAUCCUAAAUUGAAUAGGUUCUCCACCUCUUCUGAUUAACUUGGGUAACCAUGACAUACUACUAGGUGCCACUCAUGAAGGGAAAAUUAUGAGUUUUCACAUAUAGGGAUUUCAAAAAGACUAACAUGCAUAUACAAAUCAAAUUUAAUAUACGAAAGCAGCGGAAGCAUUUAUAACAAAUUAUCACAACUAGUCAUGUAAAUCCCCUUCAAGGUUCAUAGGUUUAUAUAUAAUGCAUCAAAACAAUUUUAGAGAAGAACAAAGUGAAGGUUUAGUCUAAUACCUCUUGAUCUAGACUUGAGACCAAGGAUGGACCACCUCCAAGCCCUUUGUUCCUUGAACUCCUUGAGCCUAGCUUCCCUCCUUGCCUUCUCCACUUUGUUAGAAUGAGUGCUCCUAGGUUCUCUUCAAGUUUCCAAAGUAGGAAACCUCUAAAGAUUCUCACCCACUAGUGUAGUGAGAAGGAUGAAGGAAUAACCAAAAGGGUGAAAGAUGUGUUAGUAAAAACACCCCU
This 3225-nucleotide long non-coding RNA is filed under the name Malus domestica (apple). RNAcentral describes it as "long non-coding RNA (MDOM_LNC016959)". Lineage: Eukaryota; Viridiplantae; Streptophyta; Magnoliopsida; Rosales; Rosaceae. The record is from RNAcentral.